Molecule: long non-coding RNA, 297 nt
Organism: Vigna angularis (adzuki bean)
Lineage: Eukaryota; Viridiplantae; Streptophyta; Magnoliopsida; Fabales; Fabaceae
Exons: 2
Source: RefSeq, a predicted model, not a curated record
GGCGGCGCCCCCGCUAGGGUUCAAACUCCAGCUUCUUCGAUGGCGACGACGCUGUUGAGGCACGAUCUGGACAGGGUUCUUCAUCGCACAACUUCGGGAGAGUUUCUCUUCCUCUGUUGCCAUGGAACGUGCUCACUGUGAUCGGCAGCGCGGAUUAGGGUUUUGUAUUUUGGACUUUGGGGUUUUGUUCUUGCGUUAUUAAUUAAGAAUUUUCCUGUGUAUCUGAAAUUGCAAUGAAUGAAAUUAGGGUUCUCAUCUUUAAUACGAUUUGAGAAAGUGAGAUUUGCCAUUUUUGAA